GGCAGCUUUAAAUACAUAAAUUUGACACACCAUGGCAAUCAGCUUUAGAUGCAUAAACUUGGCACAUCAUGGUAAUCAGUUUUCAGAGGCAUACAAUUGGCACACCAUGGCAAACAGUCAGAUGCAUACAAUUGGCACACCAUGGCAAUCAGUUUUAAAAGCAUAAAAUUGGCACGCCAUGGCAAUCAGCUUUGGAGGCAUACAAUUGG
Non-coding RNA from Pelobates cultripes (western spadefoot toad), 209 nucleotides. The record is from the annotation of a GenBank genome assembly. Lineage: Eukaryota; Metazoa; Chordata; Amphibia; Anura; Pelobatidae.